UGAAGUACUUUAUUCAGCUUUUUGCACUUUUAAUUUUGCUUGAACAAGUCACCAACCUUUUGACGUGAAGGUACAUAUUUGUGAUACCCACCCCCAGUUACUCAGUUGGUCACCUGUCCAAGUGGCUACUAGCUCUGUUCAUAGUCUUUUGACCAUUGGAACAAUUUUCAAUUUGUGCUUUUGAAGUCUAAGCCUUUGUGAAUUUCUUUCUCUCAAUGAUUUGGGCAAAUCAACACCAAUUGCUAAAUCAAGUAAUGUUAAGUUCAUUCACACAAUUUCAAUUUAUUCUCUCAAUUGAGGGUCAUCAAUAUAUUUUUCACCAUGGCAAACUCAAAAAUUCAAUUCAAA
This 348-nucleotide long non-coding RNA is filed under the name Manihot esculenta (cassava). RNAcentral describes it as "long non-coding RNA (MESC_LNC000415)". The record is from RNAcentral. Lineage: Eukaryota; Viridiplantae; Streptophyta; Magnoliopsida; Malpighiales; Euphorbiaceae.